AACGAACGCUGGCGGUUUGGUUAGGCAUGCAAGUCGUACGCGAAAGUCUCCUUCGGGGGAUGAGUAGAGUGGCGAACUGGUGAGUACAAGGUGACUAACCUGCCCUUGAGUGGGGGAUAACUUCGGGAAACCGAAGCUAAUACCGCAUGGUUUCUUGAUCUCUCGGGGUUGAGAAUAAAGCAGUAAUGCGCUCAAGGAUGGGGUCACCCCCCAUUAGCUUGUUGGUAGGGUAACGGCCUACCAAGGCUGCGAUGGGUAGCUGGACUGAGAGGUUGGCCAGCCACACUGGGACUGAGAUACGGCCCAGACUCCUACGGGGGGCAGCAGUCUAGAGGCUUCGACAAUGCCCGAAAGGGUGAUCGAGCGACGCCGCGUGCGGGAUGAAGGUCUUCGGAUUGUAAACCGCUUUUGUUUGGGAAGAAGGCCUGUGUCGUGAACAUGGGAUUGACGGUCCAAACGAAUAAGCCCCGGCUAACUCCGUGCCAGCAGCCGCGGUAAGACGGAGGGGGCAAGCGUUGUUCGGAAUCAUUGGGCGUAAAGGGCUCGUAGGCGGACUAGUAAGUCUGGCGUGAAAUCUCCACCGCUCACCGGGGAGAGGUCGCUGGAUACUGCUAGUCUUGAGUUCGGUAGAGGGU
Molecule: ribosomal RNA, 635 nt
Filed under: uncultured soil bacterium
Lineage: Bacteria
Description: bacterial SSU rRNA
Rfam family: Bacterial small subunit ribosomal RNA
Source: RNAcentral